Long non-coding RNA from Gossypium raimondii (Peruvian cotton), 1178 nucleotides. RefSeq lists it as uncharacterized. Lineage: Eukaryota; Viridiplantae; Streptophyta; Magnoliopsida; Malvales; Malvaceae. The record is from RefSeq and is a predicted model, not a curated record. The transcript is spliced from 3 exons.
AAAACUUUUAACUAAAAUUAAGUUAACUUAAGUGAAAUUAGAGUUUUUUUUUUAUUAUUUUCCCUACUUUUCUCUUUUCUCUUUCUUGUGUUUUUUUAGCUGCCACAUUCCUCAGCCCCGUUGUCCUUCACACUGCCGCCAACACCCCUUGCCAGCCCAGCUUGGUGUGGUGUGACGCCCAACAGCACCAGUCAACCUGUGCGCCCAGCGUGUGCACGUGCAUCUUCUAGCAGCAAGCCUUUGUGCGUUGCUCUGUCACACACCACCGCAAAUCGUUAUACGAUUGCAAUAGUCAUGAUCACCAUCGAACGCUUGCGACAACCAUCACAUACCAUCAACCCUAUUGAUCAUAUAUCAGCUGCCUCUUUCAGGAUCAAUCGAGUCCUAGCAAGCUCUGUCGAUUACCAUCGUCAACAAUUGGAAGCAAUCGGGACCUGUAGAACCUUGUGCGCCACCAGUCAACGACAACAGCAGAAUUUUUUCAAUAGUUUCCUUGGAGAGGCAGCCAUCACAUACCAUUGAUCCCUAUUGAUCACAUACAGCGGCCUCUUUCGGGCACAAUCGAGUCCCAGCAAGCCCUAUCGAUUACCAUCGUCAACAAUUGGAAGCAAUCGGGACCUGUAGAACCUUGUGCGCCACCAGUCAACGGCAACAGCAGAAUUUUUUCAAUAGUUUCCUUAGAUAUUGUGGCUAACCCUUCAACAUUCAACAAAUCAUAUUUGCUGCUCCUAACCCAUCUUAAGUUUUUGUAGAAGAUGAAUUCGUACAGGGAGGCAGAGAAGUAGAAAAGACACUCAACAUCAAUCGAGUAUGAUAUUUAGUUCAAAUUCAGGCAAUCACUUGCCGAAAUGAGAGCAGCAAGGAGGAUGACUUGAAGAUGUCUAGAUGAUUUUAACAUAAAGUUGAGGUAGAAAGCCACCAUGGGAAGUUGCAAGGAGCAACCACAAAUAGCCCCCUGUAUCCAGUUGUUUACUCUUCACAUUUUGAAAUGGUCGUGGAUAGCCUCCAUCGACUACUCUUUCUUAUCUUUUUAUUUAUUGUUAAUUAUUGUUUUCUAUGUUGGGAGACAAGAUUUCAUCUUAUCUUUAUGUUUUUAUUUUAAUAUGACAUGACUUAAUUUUGUUUAUUCAAAAUGGAUAUGAAUCUUGAUUUGAAUUAAUUUGUAUUUGUUUUCUGAA